Molecule: ribosomal RNA, 465 nt
Filed under: Vreelandella stevensii
Lineage: Bacteria; Pseudomonadati; Pseudomonadota; Gammaproteobacteria; Oceanospirillales; Halomonadaceae
Description: partial 16S ribosomal RNA
Rfam family: Bacterial small subunit ribosomal RNA
Source: RNAcentral
CCUACGGGGAGCAGCAGUGGGGAAUAUUGGACAAUGGGCGAAAGCCUGAUCCAGCCAUGCCGCGUGUGUGAAGAAGGCCUUCGGGUUGUAAAGCACUUUCAGUGGGGAAGAAAGCCUUGGGGCUAAUACCCUCGAGGAAGGACAUCACCCACAGAAGAAGCACCGGCUAACUCCGUGCCAGCAGCCGCGGUAAUACGGAGGGUGCGAGCGUUAAUCGGAAUUACUGGGCGUAAAGCGCGCGUAGGCGGUCUGAUAAGCCGGUUGUGAAAGCCCCGGGCUCAACCUGGGAACGGCAUCCGGAACUGUCAGGCUAGAGUGCAGGAGAGGAAGGUAGAAUUCCCGGUGUAGUGGUGAAAUGCGUAGAGAUCGGGAGGAAUACCAGUGGCGAAGGCGGCCUUCUGGACUGACACUGACGCUGAGGUGCGAAAGCGUGGGUAGCAAACAGGAUUAGAUACCCUGGUAGUC